GCCAGACUCCUACGGGAGGCAGCAGUGAGGAAUAUUGGUCAAUGGGCUAAGGCCUGAACCAGCCAAGUCGCGUGAGGGAUGACGGUCCUAUGGAUUGUAAACCUCUUUUGUCAGGGAGCAAAGGGCGCCACGUGUGGCGCUUUGCGAGUACCUGAAGAAAAAGCAUCGGCUAACUCCGUGCCAGCAGCCGCGGUAAUACGGAGGAUGCGAGCGUUAUCCGGAUUUAUUGGGUUUAAAGGGUGCGCAGGCGGAAUGUCAAGUCAGCGGUAAAAUUUCGGGGCUCAACCCCGUCGUGCCGUUGAAACUGGCGUUCUUGAGUGAGCGAGAAGUAUGCGGAAUGCGUGGUGUAGCGGUGAAAUGCAUAGAUAUCACGCAGAACUCCGAUUGCGAAGGCAGCAUACCGGCGCUCAACUGACGCUCAUGCACGAAAGCGUGGGUAUCGAACAGGAUUAGAUACCCUCGUAGU
Molecule: ribosomal RNA, 466 nt
Filed under: uncultured bacterium
Lineage: Bacteria
Description: bacterial SSU rRNA
Rfam family: Bacterial small subunit ribosomal RNA
Source: RNAcentral